Molecule: ribosomal RNA, 257 nt
Filed under: uncultured bacterium
Lineage: Bacteria
Description: partial small subunit ribosomal RNA
Rfam family: Bacterial small subunit ribosomal RNA
Source: RNAcentral
AGAACGAACGCUGGCGGCAUGCCUAACACAUGCAAGUCGAACGCUCUUGGGGCUUCGGUCUCAGGGGAGUGGCGCACGGGUGAGUAGCACGUGAGCAACCUGCCCCGAAGACUGGGAUAACACCGGGAAACCGGUGCUAAUACCAGAUGCCCCCACCGGAUCGCAUGAUCUGGUGAGGAAAUGGAUUCCGCUUCGGGAGGGCUCGCGGCCUAUCAGCUAGUUGGUGAGGUAACGGCUCACCAAGGCGACGACGGGUA